AGAUUGAACGCUGGCGGCAUGCUUUACACAUGCAAGUCGAACGGCAGCACGGGUGCUUGCACUUGGUGGCGAGUGGCGAACGGGUGAGUAAUACAUCGGAACGUGUCCUGAAGUGGGGGAUAACGCAUCGAAAGAUGUGCUAAUACCGCAUAUCCUCUGAGGAGGAAAGUAGGGGAUCGAAAGACCUUAUGCUUUUGGAGCGGCCGAUGUCUGAUUAGCUAGUUGGUGGGGUAAUGGCCUACCAAGGCGACGAUCAGUAGUUGGUCUGAGAGGACGGCCAGCCACACUGGGACUGAGACACGGCCCAGACUCCUACGGGAGGCAGCAGUGGGGAAUUUGGACAAUGGGCGCAAGCCUGAUCCAGCAAUGCCGCGUGAGUGAAGAAGGCCUUGGUUGUAAGCUCUUUCUAGUUGAGAAGAAAAGGACCGUAGAACUAAUAAUUGCGGCUCAGUGACGGUAUACAACGAAGAAGAAAGACACCGACGUAAACC
Molecule: ribosomal RNA, 491 nt
Filed under: uncultured soil bacterium
Lineage: Bacteria
Description: bacterial SSU rRNA
Rfam family: Bacterial small subunit ribosomal RNA
Source: RNAcentral